RNAcentral lists this ribosomal RNA (256 nucleotides) under uncultured bacterium. Its description in RNAcentral is "partial 16S ribosomal RNA". It matches the Rfam family "Bacterial small subunit ribosomal RNA", at positions 15 to 280 of the family's 1533-position model. The record is from RNAcentral.
GAUCCUGGCUCAGAACGAACGCUGGCGGCAGGCUUAACACAUGCAAGUUGAACGGGAUUUGUAUGGUGCUUGCACCAUGUAAUGAGAGUAGCGCACUGGUGAGUAACCCGUGGGAACAUACCUUGAAGUGGGGGACAACAGUUGGAAACGACUGCUAAUACCGCAUAAUCCCUUGAGGGGGAAAGAUUUAUCGCUUUAAGAUUGGCCCGCGGAAGAUUAGGUAGUUGGUGGGGUAAAGGCCUACCAAGCCGACGAU